Molecule: long non-coding RNA, 920 nt
Filed under: Ananas comosus (pineapple)
Lineage: Eukaryota; Viridiplantae; Streptophyta; Magnoliopsida; Poales; Bromeliaceae
Description: long non-coding RNA (ACOM_LNC009842)
Source: RNAcentral
UAUUUUAGUUCCCAAAUUUUUAUUUAUUACAAUUUUUGCUUCAAACUUUUAGAAUUAUUGUAAUUAAAUUCUACAAUCUAAUUUAAUUGACCAAACAUUAACAAAUUAUUUACGUAGAAGUGAUGUUACUAUGAUUUGUCAAUAAUUAAUGUACUAAUUCAUUUCUAUAUAAACAAUUUGUCAAUAUUUAAUUAACUAAAUUGUGUUGUCAGAUUUGAUUGUAAUAAUUCACAAAGUUUUUGCCAAAAAUGACAAUAAAUUAUAGUUUGUGUACCAAAGUGUCACGUUCCCCGUAGUUUAGGGACCAAAAGUGUAAUUUAUUCUAAUAAAAUCUAUCAAGAAGAAAUAUCAACUUGGCUUUGUGGGCUCUAACUUCUUGAUGAGCUUAAGCACAAGUUUAUGAUUACUUGGUCAUGUAUGAUGAUGCUACAUAAAAUUUCUAUGCACUUACCAACCGUCCCUAACAUAAGUAAAAAAGGAUUUGAUAAUUGAUACCCAAGAUCUCAAAUUCGAAUCCUAAUUAAUUCGUAUUUCCAGUUAAGUUUAUUUCUAAAAAGGAAUAAACAAAAUGGGUAGUAUGUUAUUUUUCUCUCAAAAAAGAAAACGAAAAAAAAUAUUCUGUGCACUUUUGUCUUGAUUCUAAGAUAGUAGAUGAGGAUUUACCAAAGUGCUUUUAUGGUUCACGGAUUUAAAUUUUCAGUAAAAAUUUAAUUUCUGAAAAAUCUAUUUUCAUGAUAGAAUUUGCCUUGUAUUUGUCACGCCCCGGAUUAUUCGUUUCUCCGGGCACGCCGACAAAUCCACUGUAUACAAAAGAAUUUUGCAUGUAUACGAAGCGACAGCUGUACUUGUAAUCAAACAAUACUACAGCUAGUAGUAUAGAGCUGUUAGGAAAAAUAAAACAUAUCCAGAUAGAAAAUAGA